This 740-nucleotide ribosomal RNA is filed under the name uncultured bacterium. Its description in RNAcentral is "bacterial SSU rRNA". It matches the Rfam family "Bacterial small subunit ribosomal RNA", at positions 49 to 792 of the family's 1533-position model. The record is from RNAcentral.
CUACACAUGCAGUCGAGCGGGAUAUACCGGUUUAGUUUACUAAGCUGGUAAAUUCAGCGGCGGACGGGUGAGUAACGCGUGAGCAAUCUGCCUUGUACAGGGGGAUAACAGCCGGAAACGGCUGCUAAUACCGCAUAAGGCCACAGUACCGCAUGGUACAGGGGUCAAAGGAGAGAUCCGGUAUAAGAUGAGCUCGCGUUCCAUUAGCUGGUUGGUGAGGUAACGGCCCACCAAGGCAACGAUGGGUAGCCGGCCUGAGAGGGUGAACGGCCACAUUGGGACUGGGACACGGCCCAAACUCCUACGGGAGGCAGCAGUGGGGGAUAUUGCGCAAUGGGGGAAACCCUGACGCAGCAACACCGCGUGAGUGAAGGAGGCCUUCGGGUCGUAAAACUCUGUGACAGGGGAAGAAGAAAGUGACGGUACCCCGAGAGGAAGCCCCGGCUAACUACGUGCCAGCAGCCGCGGUAACACGUAGGGGGCAAGCGUUGUCCGGAAUUACUGGGCGUAAAGGGUGCGUAGGCGGCCGAGCAAGUCCGAUGUGAAAGACCACGGCUAAACUGUGGGGGUGCAUAGGAAACUGUCCGGCUUGAGUGCAGGAGAGGAAAGUGGAAUUCCUAGUGUAGCGGUGAAAUGCGUAGAGAUUAGGAAGAACACCAGUGGCGAAGGCGAUUUUCUGGACUGUAACUGACGCUGAGGCACGAAAGCGUGGGGAGCGAACAGGAUUAGAUACCCUGGUA